UACAGAGGGUGCAAGCGUUAAUCGGAAUUACUGGGCGUAAAGCGAGCGUAGGUGGCUUGAUAAGUCAGAUGUGAAAUCCCCGGGCUUAACCUGGGAACUGCAUCUGAUACUGUCAGGCUAGAGUAGGUGAGAGGAAGGUAGAAUUCCAGGUGUAGCGGUGAAAUGCGUAGAGAUCUGGAGGAAUACCGAUGGCGAAGGCAGCCUUCUGGCAUCAUACUGACACUGAGGCUCGAAAGCGUGGGGAGCAAACAGG
Molecule: ribosomal RNA, 253 nt
Filed under: uncultured microorganism
Description: partial 16S ribosomal RNA
Rfam family: Bacterial small subunit ribosomal RNA
Source: RNAcentral